ACAGUUCAUGAUAUCGCGGCUCUUGUGCAGUCGCAUUCCCCCAUGUUUGUGUUUUUGUGUGAAACAAGACAAAAAGCAAGUAGAAUGAAGAGGAUUAGAGGUCGUCUGGGACUUCAAGGAUUUGAAGGAGUUGAUAGUAAUGGGCUCAGCGGAGGUCUAGCCUUGUAUUGGCAUGAGUCAUACCAGGUUUCAGUCUUGGGGACUGAUGAUCACUUCAUUGACAUCUCGGUUACACCCCCUGGAGGUGAUGAAUGGAGAUUAACUGCUGUUUAUUGUGAGCCUCGAGUAGAGAACAUGCACCUGAUGUGGUCUAAGCUACAAACGUUGAAGCAAGUUUCGGACCUGUCGUGGCUAGUUGUUGGUGAUUUUAAUGAGGCGUUGUGGAGUUUUGGACAUAUGUCUCUGAACCCCCGGCCUGAAUCUCAGAUGGCGGCCUUUUGA
RNAcentral lists this ribosomal RNA (441 nucleotides) under Triticum aestivum (bread wheat). Its description in RNAcentral is "partial small subunit ribosomal RNA". Lineage: Eukaryota; Viridiplantae; Streptophyta; Magnoliopsida; Poales; Poaceae. The record is from RNAcentral.